This 223-nucleotide long non-coding RNA is filed under the name Pollicipes pollicipes. Its description in RNAcentral is "uncharacterized LOC119099908". Lineage: Eukaryota; Metazoa; Arthropoda; Thecostraca; Pollicipedomorpha; Pollicipedidae. The record is from RNAcentral.
GGACGCCGAGCGGCGGCGGCAGUGGCCCCUGCUUCCCGUCGUGCGGCUGUACGUGUGCUGGCUGGCCGAGUCGCCCCAGGCGCUGUCCAUGGAGCCGUUCUCGACGCGGCCGCAGCUGUGGGCACACCUCUGCCACCUGGUGAACAGCAUGGAAGUCACCGCCGAGAUGAUCACUGAAGCCGCCGACUCGAACCGGCCGCUGCCGGAGGACCUGGAUCCUGGC